GACGAACGCUGGCGGCGUGCUUAACACAUGCAAGUCGAACGGAAAGGCCCUGCUUUUGUGGGGUGCUCGAGUGGCGAACGGGUGAGUAACACGUGAGUAACCUGCCCUUGACUUUGGGAUAACUUCAGGAAACUGGGGCUAAUACCGGAUAGGAGCUCCUGCUGCUUGGUGGGGGUUGGAAAGUUUCGGCGGUUGGGGAUGGACUCGCGGCUUAUCAGCUUGUUGGUGGGGUAGUGGCUUACCAAGGCUUUGACGGGUAGCCGGCCUGAGAGGGUGACCGGCCACAUUGGGCCUGAGUUACGGCCCGGACUCCUACGGGAGCCAUCAUUGGGGAAUAUUGCACAAUGGGGCGAAGCCUGAGGCAGCAACGCCGCGUGCGGGAUGACGGCCUUCGGGUUGUAAACCGCUUUGGCAUGUGACGAGGCGUGAGUGACGGUAAUGGGUAAAGAAGCACCGGCUAACUACGUG
RNAcentral lists this ribosomal RNA (468 nucleotides) under uncultured bacterium. RNAcentral's name for it is "partial 16S ribosomal RNA". It matches the Rfam family "Bacterial small subunit ribosomal RNA", at positions 28 to 507 of the family's 1533-position model. The record is from RNAcentral.